CCCUUAGAUGUUCUGGGCCGCACGCGUGCUACACUGAGUGGAUCAGCGGGUCAGGUUGCGCGAAAGUGUUUCCUAAUCUUGAAAUCCGCUCGUGAUGGGGAUUGACGGUUGCAAUUUUCCGUCAUGAACGAGGAAUACCUUGUAAGCGCGGGUCAUCAUCCCGCGCUGAAUACGUCCCUGCCCUUUGUACACACCGCCCGUCGCUCCUACCGAUUGAGUGGUCCGGUGAGGCUUUGGGAUCUGAGCGGAAAGAGCGUUUCGCUGUUUCUGCCCGGAAAACUCAGUCGAACCUUAUCAUUUAGAGGAAGGAGAAGUCGUAACAA
Molecule: ribosomal RNA, 323 nt
Filed under: uncultured eukaryote
Lineage: Eukaryota
Description: partial 18S ribosomal RNA
Rfam family: Eukaryotic small subunit ribosomal RNA
Source: RNAcentral